This 28-nucleotide small RNA is filed under the name Bombyx mori (domestic silkworm). Its description in RNAcentral is "ovarian small RNA-5801". The record is from RNAcentral. Lineage: Eukaryota; Metazoa; Arthropoda; Insecta; Lepidoptera; Bombycidae.
UAAUAAACAAAGUAGUUUUGUCAGGUGA